ACACUCCUACGGGAGGCAGCAGUGGGGAAUAUUGCACAAUGGGCGCAAGCCUGAUGCAGCCAUGCCGCGUGUAUGAAGAAGGCCUUCGGGUUGUAAAGUACUUUCAGCGGGGAGGAAGGCAAUACGGUUAAUAACCGUGUUGAUUGACGUUACCCGCAGAAGAAGCACCGGCUAACUCCGUGCCAGCAGCCGCGGUAAUACGGAGGGUGCAAGCGUUAAUCGGAAUUACUGGGCGUAAAGCGCACGCAGGCGGCCUGUCAAGUCGGAUGUGAAAUCCCCGGGCUCAACCUGGGAACUGCAUUCGAAACUGGCAGGCUUGAGUCUUGUAGAGGGGGGUAGAAUUCCAGGUGUAGCGGUGAAAUGCGUAGAGAUCUGGAGGAAUACCGGUGGCGAAGGCGGCCCCCUGGACAAAGACUGACGCUCAGGUGCGAAAGCGUGGGGAGCAAACAGGAUUAGAUACCCGUGUAGUCCCAUGAU
This 477-nucleotide ribosomal RNA is filed under the name uncultured organism. RNAcentral describes it as "partial 16S ribosomal RNA". It matches the Rfam family "Bacterial small subunit ribosomal RNA", at positions 333 to 801 of the family's 1533-position model. The record is from RNAcentral.